GCCCUGGUGGUGGAAUUGGUAGACACAAGGGAUUUAAAAUCCCUCGGCGUUCGCGCUGUGCUGGUUCAAGUCCGGCCCGGGGCACCA
This 87-nucleotide transfer RNA is filed under the name Aliivibrio fischeri. Its description in RNAcentral is "tRNA-Leu". It matches the Rfam family "tRNA". Rfam says of the family: Transfer RNA (tRNA) molecules are approximately 80 nucleotides in length. RNAcentral also lists the same sequence under 3 other names. Lineage: Bacteria; Pseudomonadati; Pseudomonadota; Gammaproteobacteria; Vibrionales; Vibrionaceae. The record is from RNAcentral.